UUAGUGGCGGACGGGUGAGUAACGCGUGGAAAACCUGCCGUAUACGUGGGGAGUAACACUUAGAAAUAGGUGCUAAUACCGCAUAAGCGCACAGCUUCGCAUGAAGCGGUGUGAAAAACUCUGGUGGUAUACGAUGGUUCCGCGUCUGAUUAGCUAGUUGGUGGGGUAAUGGCCUACCAAGGCAACGAUCAGUAGCCGGCCUGAGAGGGUGAACGGCCACAUUGGGACUGAGACACGGCCCAAACUCCUACGGAAGGCAGCAG
Molecule: ribosomal RNA, 263 nt
Filed under: uncultured bacterium
Lineage: Bacteria
Description: partial 16S ribosomal RNA
Rfam family: Bacterial small subunit ribosomal RNA
Source: RNAcentral